Non-coding RNA from Acanthosepion pharaonis, 97 nucleotides. The record is from the annotation of a GenBank genome assembly. NCBI's taxonomy places the organism in Eukaryota, Metazoa, Mollusca, Cephalopoda, Sepiida, Sepiidae.
UGAAACACCAGUUCUCGUAUGGUCACUGAAGUUAAGCAAUGUUGAGCCUGGUCAGUACAUUGAUGAGUCACUUCGUGGGAAAAAUCAGGAGCUGUUA